GCCUUCGAGGAUCAAUGGUGAUCAUCCCGUUCAAAUACCACUCUUGCCAGGUCAUUUAUACGGGAAGGUAUGAGUUCGAAUCCCAUCGGAGGUC
Molecule: non-coding RNA, 94 nt
Organism: Mycena leptocephala
Lineage: Eukaryota; Fungi; Basidiomycota; Agaricomycetes; Agaricales; Mycenaceae
Source: the annotation of a GenBank genome assembly